This 740-nucleotide long non-coding RNA is filed under the name Medicago truncatula (barrel medic). Its description in RNAcentral is "lncRNA gene12488". The record is from RNAcentral. Lineage: Eukaryota; Viridiplantae; Streptophyta; Magnoliopsida; Fabales; Fabaceae.
GAUCAGUUCCAAUCUGUUUAAUCUAGAAAGAGACUCCUCUUUCUUCCACCUUCACUAUUUCAAGCUAAAAUCAUACUCAGAACAGAGAUGUUUGGCCAAACAACACCAUACAUAAAAUAUUUCAUUUGAUCCUCUUCAUUUUUUUCUCCACUUUUCUUGCUUGUUAGCAUUUAAUUUUCGUCAGUUUAUAAUGGUAAUAUUACUGGAAUCGUAAGUGAGAGAAGUGGUGAAAUCAAAAUUGAAGAUAAACUCUGUCAUAGUCAAAACCAAAGAUGGAUGCUUUCUUGAAGGGAUUUCCACACCUUUUUAGGUUGCAAGUGAAAAGAUGAUGAUGAUGGGAAGUGGUGGUUCCAUGGGAGUUGUUGAGGGUGGAGCCCAAUUACCAUGGCACCGUGUGGGUAGAGUUACAUGCAAUGAUUCUUCUUUUGUUUAGAGACACGAGAAGGAGAGGAAGAAGCAAGCAAAGUUGGGACAGCUAAUGGUUGGUGUGAGUGGGGCACGGAGAAGAUAGUUUAUGGAAAAAAAUUUGGUGUCGAGUGUCUAUGAUAAAACUAUAUUCUCCACUUUAUCUAAUGGCCAAUAUUUACUUUCCCAUGGUGGGAAACAACUUUCCAUUCCCAUACUAAAGUACGAAACAAUCGUGUUUUAUUUGGUACAAGUACAAAACAAACAUUUAGCAAUCAUCUUUUAACUUCCUGUAUUUUAUUUCACAAGUAGUGUGUCCGAAUAAAAUUGUUUUU